This 303-nucleotide long non-coding RNA is filed under the name Elaeis guineensis (African oil palm). RNAcentral's name for it is "long non-coding RNA (EGUI_LNC016113)". Lineage: Eukaryota; Viridiplantae; Streptophyta; Magnoliopsida; Arecales; Arecaceae. The record is from RNAcentral.
UCUCACCCAUCCCUUAAUUAAUUCUAAGGGUGGUAGAAUUGAAGGCGACGAUAUGGCAGCAGGUGGAGAAGGAGACUUCUUGCCACAAAAGGUGGAGUGAAGAUCUCUUUGCUCCCUGACUUCCUAUUUAUAAGCGCUAGCAGCCAUAUCAAUCAUCAAUUGACGCUUCCCAAGAAUUAAUAACCAAAUAGUUAAUGACGCACCUUUUUCAGAGUGAGAAUAAAUUCCUACGAUACUUUGCAAAAUAAAACAUGCCCACAUGGUGCAUCUUCAUAGAUUCUGUGCCAUCUACCAAGCGUGGCC